Molecule: unclassified non-coding RNA, 316 nt
Filed under: uncultured fungus
Lineage: Eukaryota; Fungi
Description: partial contains small subunit ribosomal RNA, internal transcribed spacer 1, and 5.8S ribosomal RNA
Rfam family: Eukaryotic small subunit ribosomal RNA (bases 1-73)
Source: RNAcentral
GCAAACUUGGUCAUUUAGAGGAAGUAAAAGUCGUAACAAGGUUUCCGUAGGUGAACCUGCGGAAGGAUCAUUAGCGAAGCUCGGAAUGCAUGUUCGGUUCUGACGCUGCCCAGCAAUGGGAUGUGCUCGUCCGGAUGUGUGUCCCUUCUCUAUCCACCCCAUUGUGAACCAAGUGUGCGAGCCGAAGAGAGAUCGGAAGCUCGCAUGCAACCCUUAUAUACCCCAAUGAAGUAUCAGAAUGUACCUUGCGUUAACUCGCACAAAUACAACUUUCAACAACGGAUCUCUUGGCUCUCGCAUCGAUGAAGAACGCAGC